AUGAACGCUGGCGGCGUGCCUAAUACAUGCAAGUCGAGCGAACAGACGAGGAGCUUGCUCCUCUGACGUUAGCGGCGGACGGGUGAGUAACACUUGGAUAACCUACCUAUAAGACUGGGAUAACUUCGGGAAACCGGAGCUAAUACCGGAUAAUAUAUUUAACCGCUUGGUUCAAUAGUGAAAGACGGUUUUGCUGUCACUUAUAGAUGGAUCCGCGCCGCAUUAGCUAGUUGGUAAGGUAACGGCUUACCAAGGCAACGAUGCGUAGCCGACCUGAGAGGGUGAUAGGCCACACUGGAACUGAGACACGGUCCAGACUACUACGGGAGGCAGCAGUAGGGAAUGUUCCGCAAUGGGCGAAAGCCUGACGGAGCAACGCCGCGUGAGUGAUGAAGGUCUUCGGAUCGUAAAACUCUGUUAUUAGGGAAGAACAAAUGUGUAAGUAACUAUGCACGUCUUGACGGUACCUAAUCAGAAAGCCACGGCUAACUACGUG
This 496-nucleotide ribosomal RNA is filed under the name uncultured bacterium. RNAcentral describes it as "partial 16S ribosomal RNA". It matches the Rfam family "Bacterial small subunit ribosomal RNA", at positions 29 to 507 of the family's 1533-position model. The record is from RNAcentral.